CACCGCGGUUAUACGAGCGGGCCCCAGUUGAUACAAUCCGGCGUAAAGGGUGGUUAGUAACAUUUUUACUAAAGCCGAACAACUUCAAAGCAGUUAUAAGCCCUUGGAGACAGGAAGCCCGCCCACGAAGGUGGCUUUAAAAACUACGACCCCACUAGAGCUAGGGAA
This 168-nucleotide ribosomal RNA is filed under the name Eviota albolineata (spotted fringefin goby). Its description in RNAcentral is "partial small subunit ribosomal RNA". The record is from RNAcentral. Lineage: Eukaryota; Metazoa; Chordata; Actinopteri; Gobiiformes; Gobiidae.